CCUACGGGUGGCAGCAGUGAGGAAUAUUGGUCAAUGGACGGAAGCCUGAACCAGCCAUGCCGCGUGCAGGAAGACGGCCCUAUGAGUUGUAAACUGCUUUUAUAAGCGAGAAAUAUGAUGGUAACUUAUGAAUUAGGAUCUGCUAACUACGUGCGAGCAGACGCGGUCAUACGUAGGAGCCGAGCAUGAUCCGGAGUGACUGGGUGUAAAGAGUUGCGUAGGGGGGAUAAUAAGUAGCUAGUGAAAUCUGGUGGCGCAAACAUUCAGACUAUUAGCUAAACUGUUAGGCUCGAGAACGUUAGGGGUAACUGGAAUUUCUGGUGUAGGAGUGAAAUGCGUAGAUAUUAGAAGGAACACCAAUAGCGUAGGCAGGUUGCUGGGACGGAUCUGACACUAAGGCACGAAAGCGUAGGGAGCAAACGGGAUUAGAUACCCUAGUAGUC
RNAcentral lists this ribosomal RNA (443 nucleotides) under uncultured bacterium. RNAcentral describes it as "partial 16S ribosomal RNA". It matches the Rfam family "Bacterial small subunit ribosomal RNA", at positions 338 to 795 of the family's 1533-position model. The record is from RNAcentral.